Molecule: ribosomal RNA, 433 nt
Filed under: Paenarthrobacter sp.
Lineage: Bacteria; Bacillati; Actinomycetota; Actinomycetes; Micrococcales; Micrococcaceae
Description: bacterial SSU rRNA
Rfam family: Bacterial small subunit ribosomal RNA
Source: RNAcentral
GGAUGAACGCUGGCGGCGUGCUUAACACAUGCAAGUCGAACGAUGAUCCCAGCUUGCUGGGGGAUUAGUGGCGAACGGGUGAGUAACACGUGAGUAACCUGCCCUUGACUCUGGGAUAAGCCUGGGAAACUGGGUNUAAUACCGGAUACGACCAUCUGGCGCAUGUCAUGGUGGUGGAAAGCUUUUGUGGUUUUGGAUGGACUCGCGGCCUAUCAGCUUGUUGGUGGGGUAAUGGCCUACCAAGGCGACGACGGGUAGCCGGCCUGAGAGGGUGACCGGCCACACUGGGACUGAGACACGGCCCAGACUCCUACGGGAGGCAGCAGUGGGGAAUAUUGCACAAUGGGCGCAAGCCUGAUGCAGCGACGCCGCGUGAGGGAUGACGGCCUUCGGGUUGUAAACCUCUUUCAGUAGGGAAGAAGCGAAAGUGACG